This 468-nucleotide ribosomal RNA is filed under the name uncultured bacterium. RNAcentral's name for it is "partial 16S ribosomal RNA". It matches the Rfam family "Bacterial small subunit ribosomal RNA", at positions 28 to 507 of the family's 1533-position model. The record is from RNAcentral.
GACGAACGCUGGCGGCGGGCUUAACACAUGCAAGUCGAACGGAAAGGCCCUGCUUUUGUGGGGUUCUCGAGUGGCGAACGGGUGAGGAACAGGUGAGUAACCUGCCCUUGUUUUUGGGAUAACUUCAGGAAACUGGGGCUAAUAUCGUAUAGGAGCUCCUGCUGCAGGGUGGGGGUUGGAAAGUUUCGGCGGGUGGGGAUGGACGCGCGGCUUAUCAGCUUGUUGGUGGGGUAGUGGCUUACCAAGGCUUUGACGGGUAGCCGGCCUGGGAGGGUGACCGGGCACAUUGGGACUGAGAGACGGACCAGUCUCCAACGGGAGGCAGCAGUGGCGAAUAUUGCACAGUGGGCCGAAGCCUGAUGCAGAAACGCCGCGUGCGGGAUGACGGCCUUCGGGUUGUAAACCGCUUUCGCCUGUGACGACGCGUGAGUGACGGUAAUGGGUAAAGAAGCACCGGCUAACUACGUG